This 460-nucleotide ribosomal RNA is filed under the name uncultured bacterium. RNAcentral describes it as "partial 16S ribosomal RNA". It matches the Rfam family "Bacterial small subunit ribosomal RNA", at positions 338 to 795 of the family's 1533-position model. The record is from RNAcentral.
CCUACGUGAGGCAGCAGUGAGGAAUAUUGGUCAAUGGGCGCGAGCCUGAACCAGCAAAGUAGCGUGAAGGAUGACUGCCCUACGGGUUGUAAACUUCUUUUAUAAAGGAAUAAAGUGAGGCACGUGUGCCUUUUUGUAUGUACUUUAUGAAUACGGAUCGGCUAACUCCGUGCCAGCAGCCGCGGUAAUACGGAGGAUCCGAGCGUUAUCCGGAUUUAUUGGGUUGAAAGGGAGCGUAGAUGGGUUGUUAAGUCAGGUGUGAAAGUUUGCGGCUCAACCGUAAAAUUGCAAUUGAUACUGGCAGUCUUGAGUACAGUUGAGGUAGGCGGAAUUCGUGGUGUAGCGGUGAAAUGCUUAGAUAUCACGAAGAACUCCGAUUGCGAAGGCAGCUUACUAAACUGCCACUGACAUUGAUGCUCGAAAGUGUGGGUAUCAAACAGGAUUAGAUACCCUGGUAGUC